GCUCUCGUCCUCACAGUAGCCAGAGGAUCCCAUGAGACAUACGUCACUUCCUGCCUGCCAUGCUCAGAACCCUGCUGCGGCUUCUUUCCACUCUCCAUGAAAGCUGGGGUCCUCGGAGUGACCCCAGGACCCUGGAGCUUAUCAACGCUGUCCAGUAGAAACACGAAGAGUCACACAGGGGUACCAUGUAUGCAGUUCAACAUUUUUCUGCUAAAUUUAAAGGGAAAAGGAAAUACGUGCAAUUAAUUUUAUUACCUGAACCCAGGACGUCAGAAUUAUCUUCAUUUCUGACGUAUAUUCCGUGGGGUUUUGGUAGUGAGUCACCCCCGUAGCACAGCCCAGUUUGGAUCGGCCACGUUUCAUGGGCUCCAUGGCCUCGUGUGCCUGGUGGCCGCCGUGUUGAAAUGAACGGCAGGCCUGUGGAUUCUGUGGCCCCCGGGGGCCUCUGUGUCCUUCCCUUCUUCCACUUUGCUCUGGUUUCCUUGCUGUUCCUCAAGUAAACUAGGCAGUUCCUGUAUCAGAGUCUUCACACCUCCUGUUCCCUCCGCUUGGACUGCGUUUCCCAGCUGGCCCUGACCAGACUCUCAAGUGCUACCUUCCCAGUGCCCCACCCCCCCUGCGCACUUGGUUGCAUUUCCUGCGUCUCUUCCCUGCCCUGUUUUCGUCCGUCUGUAGCACUGUCAGCACUUCGCAUGCUCUAGAGCUCUCUCACUUCCUGUGUUGUCCAUCUCCCCCCACUGGAUGGAAUGUGAGCUCCGUGAGCGCCGCCGGGGCUUUGUCCGUUUCGUUCCCUGCCCUAUUUCCGGAGCAUGGAACAGUGCCUGGCAUGUAGGAGAGAGAGAUGGAUAGAUGUUGAGGAAUUAGAUGAAAUGCAUUAAUAAGGAUGAUUCUUAGUAAGAAGCAUGCAGUUGAAUACACUUUGUGGUUGCAGAAUAUCUUGGUGUCAUAUUUUGCAACAUGGUGGUUGGAAGGUCUGGUCCAAGUCACUGUAUUUUGAAAGAGUCCUUUCUAGGAAGAUGUUAUCCUGGGGUCAGCUGAUCAUUUAAAUGGAUUUUAGACCCCUGAAACCCUGCCCUGUACUCCACUGAGAGAUUUAAAAACAAGCUUGGAUGUGCGGCUUUCCGUGUGUACGUAGGUAGAAGGGUUUCGAGACUGCAUCUUCCUGUUGAAUUGGGUAACGUCAUCCUGUCAUAUGGUGAAAAUGAUUUCCCAACGCUGGUGUUUGAAAUGCUCUUUCUGUGACAUAAGUCUCUCAAAAAGUAGAGGCUUUCUUACCCAUUUUUAAAAUUGUCACCUUAACCCGAAAGGGACAGAUUAAUUAUUUAUUUGUUGGAAAAAUAGUCAUUAAUUGUCAUUCUCUUAUUGUAGAAGAGGUCAGCAGCUUUUGGUUUUCUGGUUUAAAAAGAAGUAUAACCUCCGUUUAAGUUGAGCCACUCUUUCCACCCUGAGAGCAUCAGGGGCAGUGUGUCCCGUGCGUUGCGGGUCUCCCUGUCUCAUUACAGAGGACUGCCGGUUAGUGAAUUGAGGAGGGUAUCCCGGGCUUGCUUAAACGGAUGCGCAUAAACUGUGCUCAGGACGCAGACCGCUGGGCUGCCCCGUCCGUCUUUUGGUGUUUGCAUUAACCUCGCUGCCUUGAGCAGCCAUCAGAGGGUUGGGUCUUCUCAUCGUUGUUGCUCAUGAUCUGAAAUGGCGCUGGCUCCCACCAGUGUUGGUUGACUGAAUAGUAUUGGGGAAUGGAUUCAUUUGGUGACCCCAACACCAUAAGAUUGUAUUUAUUGGACAUCACAGUCCGUAAGCCAGGUUUCUUUUCUUCUUUGGUGGCUUUAGAGCCAUUUCUCUCUUCUCUCCUUUUUUUGGCCUCUGCAUGCGGAAGUUCGUAGCCCAGGGAUUGAACCUGUGCCACAGAAGUGGCAAUGCUGGAUCCUUAACCUGCUGAGCCACCAGGGAACUCCAAGAGGCAGUUCUUUAGCAAGCCUUGAUGCCUUCUUCUGCAUCUGACAGGCGGUGAAGGUGGUAGCCUCUCGCACCAGAGCAUGCUGGGAGUUGGGAGGUGGAUGGUUGUGAUCAGAAGCUGAUCUGGAGGUGAGCGUGGAUGGCAGGGGUUGCUGGACGAGGUAGCCAGCACCAUCUUAAAGGGACAGGAGGGAUGUCUUUGAAGCCCUGUGCCAUGUCUUCCCUCAGCUCUCCUCCAUGUGGAAAAUGCUUGUUGAAAUACAUUUUCCGUCCAUUUUGACAGUCCAGAACGUAUGUCAGCUGGAUAGGUGCCCUGGGUGGUGUUUUUCCAGCUGCCGUGACCAAAAGCGCCAUCGGAAACAUGAGCAGCUGGGCUGUGCGCUGAAGCUCUGGUCGGGGACAGAGGCCCUGGGUACUUUCUGCUGCAGCAGAAACCGUCUCCCACACGCCCUGGACCUGGCAUCGCUGAGCAAGGCUUGUCCACAGCGGCCCACAGACCAGCCAGCCACUAGCCAGCCCAUCAUCAUCUGUUCGUGACGCACGUUUGAACAGGGCCUCUGGUGGGAAAGGCUCCAUGUUUCUGGAUGGCGUGGCCGGGCCUGCAGAGGAAGGUCUGUGGCAGCGUGAGUGCGACCUGGCUUCUGUCCCCAGGGAGCUCAGGGCUGGUGAGGGAGAUGGACGUCCAUGCCGAAUACAAGGCAACGACGUGCAGACGGGAUGCAGACGGAGCCCAAGAAACUGCCGUAUUAGCCAGGAGCAAUUGGAGGGUAUCUCUCAGAACACGAGGAAGGGGAACUCAUCCGUCCUGCUCGUGGCUGACUCGGAGCCUAGCACAGGACUGCAUCCGUAUCAGGCGCUCAGCAAAUAUGUAUUUGUUAAUGGCCAGGCGGAGUUCCCAUUAUGGCUCCGUGGUUAGGAACCCGACUAGGAUGCAUGAGGAUGCAGGUUUGAUCCCUGGCCUCACUCAGUGGGUUGAGGAUCCAGCAUUGCCGCAGGCUGACGUGUAGGUCACAGAUGCAGCUUAGAUCUGGUGUUGGCUUGGCUGUGGCGUAGGCCUCAGCUGCAGCUCCGAUCCAACCCCUGGCCUGGGAACUUCCCUGUGCUGCAGGCGUGGUCCUAAAAAGAAAAAAAAUAUGUAUUUGGGUUUGGCAGGAGUGGGGCUUCACCACCAGGGACAGAGGAGAAAACGUCUGUUGCAAAGAGGUGGUCUGUGUGCCCUGGACCACCAAAAUCACACAGGGGGUCUGUGUGUGGCAGGAGAGGGGCUGCGUACUGCAAAGGGCGGGCAGCCUCGGAGCGGGGGCGGGGGGACCACUUCUAGGACGCUGAUUUUGGUGGUUCUGAACCUCUUUUUGCUCCAGUUCUCAUUAGGAAUUGCAUGGAAACGAUACCCUCUUUCUUGAGGAAAGACACAAUCACAGCAGCACGUGGUUGGACAUAGAUCCCAUCGGAAGACUCGCAGGUCGCAGGUUCUGAAACCCUGCUGCUGGCUGGGGAGCCAUCAGUGCAUAUUGAGCUCUUUAAAUGGGGAGAAGACACUUUUUAUUUUUUCCUGGAGUCUUUGGGGAUUGACUCAGAUCAGUGUGUACUCUGUGGGUAUUCUGGGUUUUAGGAGUACUAAGUAACAGGCUUGGGGAAGCCGUGGAGACCUGGGGGGGAAGCCGUGGAGAACUGCCCCCCCCCCGGUGCAUGUGGAAAGAGCGAGUGUUGGCUCUCUUGAGCAGGAGGUGAAAAGUUACCUGAGAAAAGUUAGAAAAAAAAUUAACUUAAAAAAUUCACUAAUUCAAAAUAGGGAACGCUUAUGCUAAUUUUUUUUCUGUGGCAUGGUUUCUAGCUCAGAUAGCCGGCCAAGAAGUAGUUACAGACAGAGAGAGGCAGUGUGUUGCAUUUCUGGGAACACUGAGUAAUUAUUGCCUUUGGAAUGGUUAAGCAAAAUAAAAUGAAAUAAAAUAAGAUAUAACAAAAUAAAAAGCUAGCAAACUGCUUU
Molecule: long non-coding RNA, 3940 nt
Filed under: Sus scrofa (pig)
Lineage: Eukaryota; Metazoa; Chordata; Mammalia; Artiodactyla; Suidae
Description: lncRNA (ENSSSCG00055002114.1)
Source: RNAcentral